Molecule: unclassified non-coding RNA, 866 nt
Filed under: Hevea brasiliensis (rubber tree)
Lineage: Eukaryota; Viridiplantae; Streptophyta; Magnoliopsida; Malpighiales; Euphorbiaceae
Source: RNAcentral
GUUUUUUCACUACUGUCAUUUCCUGCAGGCCACUUAUGUGAAGAGUCAUUAUAUAUUCUCUUGUAAUGAUUAUAUACGGCGACAGAUAGAACCUUUUUAGCUCUCUCCUGUCCAAUUACAAACUUAUCAAGUCCUCUACACAGUUGCUUUGGUGUGGGAAAUUGGGUACCCAAAUUGGAUCCACCCCAAGACCCAUCUUUUGACCCGGAACCAAACCCACCUCCAGAACCCGAACCCGAACCAGGAACUUCCCCUUCACCCACCUGAACAAAUUUCACACCAGGACGAACCACAAUCCCCUCACCAGGUGGUUGCCAAAUCUCAGGAGGUUCCCCAUAGUUACUAGACAUAUUAAUUUUCUCCUUACUCUUCCUACUUGAAUUCUUCAAAUUAUCAUAACAUCGGUCAACAAAUUCACCACGAAACGAUACAGGUUUGAAUAAAGAAGAACUAUGACCAGAAUUUGAGACCAAAUUAUCCCAUUUGGUUCGACUACACAAAUGGAAAUUGGGUAAAUGACCCGUGUGAAAAUCAUUGAUGAUAAAGUAUCUGAAGUGGGUAAUAGCCAUAGAAGCCGUACGUCUAGACGAUUUCGAUCUAAGUACAGCUGCCAUAUCGGCUUAGUUCAGUGGAAACUCAACGCCCCAACAAAGAAAAACAAGAAAACGAAGUAAAGAUUCUUUCUUUUUAUAUGUAUGAACAAGAUAGAGAUGAUUAUGUAAUGAAAAGGGAUGUGGGUAUGAGUAACAAUUUCAAGAUUUGAUGUUUGUCGGAAGAGAGGAGACUUUUGUGGGGUUUAAGAGAUGACCCAUCAGACAAAGAAAACUGAAAAAUUGAGAAAAUUCUUGUUUAUAGAGAGGAUUUUG